This 253-nucleotide ribosomal RNA is filed under the name uncultured bacterium. Its description in RNAcentral is "partial 16S ribosomal RNA". It matches the Rfam family "Bacterial small subunit ribosomal RNA", at positions 524 to 776 of the family's 1533-position model. The record is from RNAcentral.
UACGAAGGGGGCUAGCGUUGUUCGGAAUUACUGGGCGUAAAGCGCAUGUAGGCGGUCCUACAAGCCAGAGGUGAAAUCCCGGAGCUCAACUUCGGAAUUGCCUUUGGAACUGUAGGACUGGAGUAUCGGAGGGGAUGGUGGAAUUCCAAGUGUAGAGGUGAAAUUCGUAGAUAUCUGGAGGAACACCGGUGGCGAAGGCGGCCAUCUGGACGAUUACUGACGCUGAGAUGCGAAAGCGUGGGGAGCAAACAGG